Molecule: ribosomal RNA, 731 nt
Filed under: uncultured bacterium
Lineage: Bacteria
Description: bacterial SSU rRNA
Rfam family: Bacterial small subunit ribosomal RNA
Source: RNAcentral
ACGANNNCUGGCGGCGUGCCUAAUACAUGCAAGUCGAGCGCAGGAAGUCAUCCGAACCCUUCGGGGGGACGUUGACGGAAUGAGCGGCGGACGGGUGAGUAACACGUAAAGAACCUGCCCUCAGGUCUGGGAUAACCACGAGAAAUCGGGGCUAAUACCGGAUGGGUCAUCGGACCGCAUGGUCCGAGGAUGAAAGGCGCUCCGGCGUCGCCUGGGGAUGGCUUUGCGGUGCAUUAGCUAGUUGGUGGGGUAACGGCCCACCAAGGCGACGAUGCAUAGCCGACCUGAGAGGGUGAUCGGCCACACUGGGACUGAGACACGGCCCAGACUCCUACGGGAGGCAGCAGUAGGGAAUCUUCCACAAUGGACGAAAGUCUGAUGGAGCAACGCCGCGUGAACGAUGAAGGCCCUCGGGUCGUAAAGUUCUGUUGUAAGGGAAGAACAAGUGCCGCAGGCAAUGGCGGCACCUUGACGGUACCUUGCGAGAAAGCCACGGCUAACUACGUGCCAGCAGCCGCGGUAAUACGUAGGUGGCAAGCGUUGUCCGGAAUUAUUGGGCGUGAAGCGCGCGCAGGCGGCCUCUUAAGUCUGAUGUGAAAGCCCCCGGCUCAACCGGGGAGGGCCAUUGGAAACUGGGAGGCUUGAGUAUAGGAGAGAAGAGUGGAAUUCCACGUGUAGCGGUGAAAUGCGUAGAGAUGUGGAGGAACACCAGUGGCGAAGGCGACUCUUUG